UGGGAACUGGGACACAAACACAGGUCCCAGGGCCAAACUCACUGCCCUCCCCGUUCUCCAGCACGGUGCUGUUUCCUUCAUUUAGAGUGAAACGCUCAUGUGCAGUGGAUGCUGUGGUGCUCCACCUCCAAUCCCUCUUCAGGUCCGGUGCCCUGUCCUCCAGAUGCUGGGCACACUGCCUGCCGAUUUUCACAGCUGCACCCCUCUCUGGGAACUGUGGACAAGUGAAGGGCCAACCCUGCUCCAGAGCUCCCUGCAGGAUCCGGAAAGCUGCCAGGUUUGGGACGCCUGGAGUGAGAGGCAGCUCCACAAGCGCAGUUGCUGUGCAAGCUGCUCUUCCACUGUGGCCACAGAAUCCAGCAGAUGUGAAGGCACUAUGCUUAUCAGUGGACUUUCCAAGUUGGAGGCCUCACUGUUGCUUCAAGUGUGGUAUGGCAGCACCCAUCUGCUGUGUCCAUCUACACUUUAUUAUAUAUCUAUGCACCUCAUCAGGGAAGCACGGGAACCCGCAGGCACUGCUAGUAGGAAGGCAAGCUGGCCUGGCCAUUCUGGAGAAGAACAUGGCAGUAUACUCAGUCACAUUCCAGUCGCACAGCCUGUGAUUUGGGUAUGCAUCAUGGAUAAAUGUUCAUUGUAGUGUUAUUUAGGAAAUCCAGGAGCUGGAGAUGGAAAGCAAUGUGCUUGAACUAGGUAGGAUGUAUACAGCUCAAAUGGGCCAACUGUUAAAUUUUCAGGAAUUUGGUGAGCUAGUUUUUAUACCCCG
Molecule: long non-coding RNA, 763 nt
Filed under: Homo sapiens (human)
Lineage: Eukaryota; Metazoa; Chordata; Mammalia; Primates; Hominidae
Description: non-protein coding lnc-KHDRBS3-5:7
Source: RNAcentral